RNAcentral lists this ribosomal RNA (278 nucleotides) under uncultured Pseudomonas sp. RNAcentral's name for it is "partial 16S ribosomal RNA". It matches the Rfam family "Bacterial small subunit ribosomal RNA", at positions 1107 to 1382 of the family's 1533-position model. The record is from RNAcentral. Lineage: Bacteria; Pseudomonadati; Pseudomonadota; Gammaproteobacteria; Pseudomonadales; Pseudomonadaceae.
GUCCUUAGUUACCAGCACGGUUAUGGUGGGCACUCUAAGGAGACUGCCGGUGGACAAACCGGAGGAAGGUGGGGAUGACGUCAAGUCAUCAUGGCCCUUACGGCCUGGGCUACACACGUGCUACAAUGGUCGGUACAAAGGGUUGCCAAGCCGCGAGGUGGAGCUAAUCCCAUAAAACCGAUCGUAGUCCGGAUCGCAGUCUGCAACUCGACUGCGUGAAGUCGGAAUCGCUAGUAAUCGUGAAUCAGAAUGUCACGGUGAAUACGUUCCCGGGCCUU